CUGGGUGUAAGGGUGCGCAGGCGGGUUGUCAAGUUGGGUGUGAAAUCUCUGGGCUUAACUCAGAGUUUGCAUUCAAAACUGGCGAUCUUGAGUGAGGUAGAGGCAGGCGGAAUUCCCGGUGUAGCGGUGAAAUGCGUAGAGAUCGGGAGGAACACCAGUGGCGAAGGCGGCCUGCUGGGCCUUAACUGACGCUGAGGCACGAAAGCAUGGGUAGCAAACAGGAUUAGAUACCCUGGUAGUCCAUGCUGUAAACGAUGAUUGCUAGGUGUGGGUGGACUGACCCCAUCCGUGCCGGAGUUAACACAAUAAGCAAUCCACCUGGGGAGUACGGCCGCAAGGUUGAAACUCAAAGGAAUUGACGGGGGCCCGCACAAGCAGUGGAGUAUGUGGUUUAAUUCGAAGCAACGCGAAGAACCUUACCAGGUCUUGACAUCCACCGAAUCCGGAAGAGAUUCUGGAGUGCCCUUCGGGGAACGGUGAGACAGGUGGUGCAUGGUUGUCGUCAGCUCGUGUCGUGAGAUGUUGGGUUAAGUCCCGCAACGAGCGCAACCCUUGUUAAUAGUUGCUACGCAAGAGCACUCUAUUAAGACUGCCGUUGAGAAAACGGAGGAAGGUGGGGAUGACGUCAAAUC
RNAcentral lists this ribosomal RNA (632 nucleotides) under uncultured bacterium. Its description in RNAcentral is "bacterial SSU rRNA". It matches the Rfam family "Bacterial small subunit ribosomal RNA", at positions 554 to 1191 of the family's 1533-position model. The record is from RNAcentral.